UUUCGGGCUCGGGCAGGCUGUCGGCCUCGGUCGGACGGCAGGCUCGGGCCUUUCUGCCUGGGGACUCCGUCACACUUAACUGUGGGGCGGUUGGACGCAGGCCGUUUACUUUGAAAAAAUUAGAGUGUUCAAAGCAGGCCUACGCUUGAAUACAUUAGCAUGGAAUAAUGGAAUAGGACUUUGGUGCUAUUUUGUUGGUUUAUGGGACCGAAGUAAUGAUUAACAGGGACAGUUGGGGCCGUUUAUAUUUCGUUGUCAGAGGUGAAAUUCUUGGAUUUACGAAAGAUAAACUUCUGCGAAAGCAUUCGGCAAGGAUGUUUUCAUUGAUCAAGAACGAAAGUUAGGGGAUCGAAGACGAUCAGAUACCGUCGUAGUCUUAACCAUAAACUAUGCCGACUAGGGAUCAGUGGAUGUCAAUUUGCGACUCCAUUGGCACCUUGUGAGAAAUCAAAGUUUUUGGGUUCCGGGGGGAGUAUGGUCGCAAGGCUGAAACUUAAAGGAAUUGACGGAAGGGCACCACCAGGAGUGGAGCCUGCGGCUUAAUUUGACUCAACACGGGGAAACUUACCAGGUCCAGACAUAGUAAGGAUUGACAGAUUGAAAGCUCUUUCUUGAUUCUAUGGGUGGUGGUGCAUGGCCGUUCUUAGUUGGUGGAGUGAUUUGU
Molecule: ribosomal RNA, 664 nt
Filed under: Rhodomonas sp. RCC5255
Lineage: Eukaryota; Cryptophyceae; Pyrenomonadales; Pyrenomonadaceae
Description: SSU rRNA
Rfam family: Eukaryotic small subunit ribosomal RNA
Source: RNAcentral